Cryptotermes secundus is the source of this 739-nucleotide long non-coding RNA. RefSeq lists it as uncharacterized. The record is from RefSeq and is a predicted model, not a curated record. NCBI's taxonomy places the organism in Eukaryota, Metazoa, Arthropoda, Insecta, Blattodea, Kalotermitidae. The transcript is spliced from 3 exons.
GUAUGAAGGGUGAGCUAUAAAACUGGCCCUCGCACUGUGACCUUCAAUGAUCUAUUGUGCUUCUCAUUUGGAUUAAGAGUACAGACGUAUUUACGUACGUACGUUCCAGUUAGGGUAGGUUUAUGCUGGCACGUCAGUAUGUUGGUAACCGGUACAUUACGCUUUUACAUGAUGAAAGCCACAUAAGGUAAACUAUAAGACUGCUCGUGUUGAUCUCUUGACAGCUGCAAAAACUGUGUGUGAGGGUGGUGGUGUAAACUCGCCCAACCUAACCUGUUGGAAGUCUAUGUAAAUCAAGACGCGCUCAGACAAGUGGCCCGGAAUGCCGGGAGGAAAAACAAGUGACGUGUGAUGUUUGUGAGUGGAAUUAUAUUCCGUAAGUUGGUAAUUCAUAGGAAACGGUGAAAUUUGAUAGAUAGGAAUGGUUGUCUGCAUUAUAGAAGUUUGAUAGUUGUGAGGAAUAUCAAAGGUUAUAUAUGAUACAGUUUUGAAUGUAGGGAUGUUGUGUAAAGUGUGUGAGGUUGGAGGUUUUGGGUGCAGGGGGGAGGAGUGGAUUUGAUUCUACAUACGUGGUAUGUGCCUACUGUUCAGGAGAAUCCAUGUCUUUCCAGAUAACAUUAUGGGUCUGAAUAUGUGAGUUCCGUUUAUGUGCUGGCAUCAUGAUCUGCAGUCAUGUUAAGAGGUUGGGUACCCUGUGAGAGUGACGUAAAUAUCCGGGGUACAAAGUCAAGGUACGUUA